RNAcentral lists this ribosomal RNA (254 nucleotides) under uncultured bacterium. RNAcentral describes it as "partial 16S ribosomal RNA". It matches the Rfam family "Bacterial small subunit ribosomal RNA", at positions 524 to 776 of the family's 1533-position model. The record is from RNAcentral.
UACGAAGGGGGCUAGCGUUGCUCGGAAUCACUGGGCGUAAAGGGUGCGUAGGCGGGUCUUUAAGUCAGGGGGUGAAAUCCUGGAGCUCAACUCCAGAACUGCCUUUGAUACUGAAGAUCUUGAGUUCGGGAGAGGUGAGUGGAACUGCGAGUGUAGAGGUGAAAUUCGUAGAUAUUCGGAAGAACACCAGUGGCGAAGGCGACUCACUGGCCCGUUACUGACGCUGAGGCGCGAAAGCGUGGGGAGCAAACAGG